CAUAGGUUAAUGAGGCGAACCGGGGGAACUGAAACAUCUAAGUACCCCGAGGAAAAGAAAUCAACCGAGAUUCCCCCAGUAGCGGCGAGCGAACGGGGAGGAGCCCAGAGCCUGAAUCAGUGUGUGUGUUAGUGGAAGCGUCUGGAAAGGCGCGCGAUACAGGGUGACAGCCCCGUACACAAAAAUGCACAUGCUGUGAGCUCGAUGAGUAGGGCGGGACACGUGGUAUCCUGUCUGAAUAUGGGGGGACCAUCCUCCAAGGCUAAAUACUCCUGACUGACCGAUAGUGAACCAGUACCGUGAGGGAAAGGCGAAAAGAACCCCGGCGAGGGGAGUGAAAAAGAACCUGAAACCGUGUACGUACAAGCAGUGGGAGCACAGAGCAAUCUGUGUGACUGCGUACCUUUUGUAUAAUGGGUCAGCGACUUAUAUUCUGUAGCAAGGUUAACCGAAUAGGGGAGCCGAAGGGAAACCGAGUCUUAACUGGGCGUUAAGUUGCAGGGUAUAGACCCGAAACCCGGUGAUCUAGCCAUGGGCAGGUUGAAGGUUGGGUAACACUAACUGGAGGACCGAACCGACUAAUGUUGAAAAAUUAGCGGAUGACUUGUGGCUGGGGGUGAAAGGCCAAUCAAACCGGGAGAUAGCUGGUUCUCCCCGAAAGCUAUUUAGGUAGCGCCUCGUGAAUUCAUCUCCGGGGGUAGAGCACUGUUUCGGCAAGGGGGUCAUCCCGACUUACCAACCCGAUGCAAACUGCGAAUACCGGAGAAUGUUAUCACGGGAGACACACGGCGGGUGCUAACGUCCGUCGUGAAGAGGGAAACAACCCAGACCGCCAGCUAAGGUCCCAAAGUCAUGGUUAAGUGGGAAACGAUGUGGGAAGGCCCAGACAGCCAGGAUGUUGGCUUAGAAGCAGCCAUCAUUUAAAGAAAGCGUAAUAGCUCACUGGUCGAGUCGGCCUGCGCGGAAGAUGUAACGGGGCUAAACCAUGCACCGAAGCUGCGGCAGCGACACUAUGUGUUGUUGGGUAGGGGAGCGUUCUGUAAGCCUGUGAAGGUGUGCUGUGAGGCAUGCUGGAGGUAUCAGAAGUGCGAAUGCUGACAUAAGUAACGAUAAAGCGGGUGAAAAGCCCGCUCGCCGGAAGACCAAGGGUUCCUGUCCAACGUUAAUCGGGGCAGGGUGAGUCGACCCCUAAGGCGAGGCCGAAAGGCGUAGUCGAUGGGAAACAGGUUAAUAUUCCUGUACUUGGUGUUACUGCGAAGGGGGGACGGAGAAGGCUAUGUUGGCCGGGCGACGGUUGUCCCGGUUUAAGCGUGUAGGCUGGUUUUCCAGGCAAAUCCGGAAAAUCAAGGCUGAGGCGUGAUGACGAGGCACUACGGUGCUGAAGCAACAAAUGCCCUGCUUCCAGGAAAAGCCUCUAAGCAUCAGGUAACAUCAAAUCGUACCCCAAACCGACACAGGUGGUCAGGUAGAGAAUACCAAGGCGCUUGAGAGAACUCGGGUGAAGGAACUAGGCAAAAUGGUGCCGUAACUUCGGGAGAAGGCACGCUGAUAUGUAGGUGAAGCGACUUGCUCGUGGAGCUGAAAUCAGUCGAAGAUACCAGCUGGCUGCAACUGUUUAUUAAAAACACAGCACUGUGCAAACACGAAAGUGGACGUAUACGGUGUGACGCCUGCCCGGUGCCGGAAGGUUAAUUGAUGGGGUCAGCGCAAGCGAAGCUCUUGAUCGAAGCCCCGGUAAACGGCGGCCGUAACUAUAACGGUCCUAAGGUAGCGAAAUUCCUUGUCGGGUAAGUUCCGACCUGCACGAAUGGCGUAAUGAUGGCCAGGCUGUCUCCACCCGAGACUCAGUGAAAUUGAACUCGCUGUGAAGAUGCAGUGUACCCGCGGCAAGACGGAAAGACCCCGUGAACCUUUACUAUAGCUUGACACUGAACAUUGAGCCUUGAUGUGUAGGAUAGGUGGGAGGCUUUGAAGUGUGGACGCCAGUCUGCAUGGAGCCGACCUUGAAAUACCACCCUUUAAUGUUUGAUGUUCUAACGUUGACCCGUAAUCCGGGUUGCGGACAGUGUCUGGUGGGUAGUUUGACUGGGGCGGUCUCCUCCUAAAGAGUAACGGAGGAGCACGAAGGUUGGCUAAUCCUGGUCGGACAUCAGGAGGUUAGUGCAAUGGCAUAAGCCAGCUUGACUGCGAGCGUGACGGCGCGAGCAGGUGCGAAAGCAGGUCAUAGUGAUCCGGUGGUUCUGAAUGGAAGGGCCAUCGCUCAACGGAUAAAAGGUACUCCGGGGAUAACAGGCUGAUACCGCCCAAGAGUUCAUAUCGACGGCGGUGUUUGGCACCUCGAUGUCGGCUCAUCACAUCCUGGGGCUGAAGUAGGUCCCAAGGGUAUGGCUGUUCGCCAUUUAAAGUGGUACGCGAGCUGGGUUUAGAACGUCGUGAGACAGUUCGGUCCCUAUCUGCCGUGGGCGCUGGAGAACUGAGGGGGGCUGCUCCUAGUACGAGAGGACCGGAGUGGACGCAUCACUGGUGUUCGGGUUGUCAUGCCAAUGGCACUGCCCGGUAGCUAAAUGCGGAAGAGAUAAGUGCUGAAAGCAUCUAAGCACGAAACUUGCCCCGAGAUGAGUUCUCCCUGACUCCUUGAGAGUCCUGAAGGAACGUUGAAGACGACGACGUUGAUAGGCCGGGUGUGUAAGCGCAGCGAUGCGUUGAGCUAACCGGUACUAAUGAACCGUGAGGCUUAACCUU
RNAcentral lists this ribosomal RNA (2742 nucleotides) under Escherichia coli. Its description in RNAcentral is "partial 23S ribosomal RNA". It matches the Rfam family "Bacterial large subunit ribosomal RNA". The record is from RNAcentral. Lineage: Bacteria; Pseudomonadati; Pseudomonadota; Gammaproteobacteria; Enterobacterales; Enterobacteriaceae.